AAAUUAGGUUUAGCAGUGGUCUUCUCUUUAUCGCCGCCUCUCUCUACCUACGCCUCUUCUUGUAAUUCAUUCUCCGUCGACUUUGAAGAAGAUAUUUAUGCUUCAUCAAAUCACAGAUCCGUCAAGGAAGAAGACAACACAGAUGGAUGUUGAAAGCGAUCACAAUGGUUGCUCUAAUUUUAGUUCUGACUCAAAUAUCAGCGGCAGGCGUCGAACAUGUCUUUACCGAUCACGUCUCAGUUUGAUCCUCUUCUGUUUUCCUUGACGUGUUUGCUGUCGACCUCUCUUUUUUAUCUCCCCACCUCUCUCUUUAAUACCUAAUCAUGCUGGAAUACAGUAAACUAUGAUUUACGACGCCACUACUAUUGAGAAAGCUGAUCUUCUACUGUUUAGCAGGCAAUUGAUCCAAUAACAUGCAAAUGUCUGUACAAAAUGCUCAAUCGAGAUGUAUUUCAUGAAUAAAUGACACACUUCUACUGGGAAAGAGGCUGCCGUGCGAUGUCAACAAAAAUUGAGAAGGAUUACCUUUGCCUAUAUGGAUUUUUCAAUGAAUAGUAGGAUCAAUCUGGCUGCUGAAGAGGUGCCUCCGGAACUUCCAGAGCCUUCUUUGGGUAUUAAUUUUGCUAGAGAUGGAAUGCAAAAAAAGGAUUAUUGGUUGCAGUUCAUAGUGAUGCAUGGUUGCUUGCCGUGUCCUUUUAUUUUGAGGCUAGAUUUGGAUUUGACUAACCUGAUAGGCUGUUAAUUAUGAGUUUUAUGUUGGCUUGCGCCUCAAUAUGAUAUUUGAAGGGAAAGACUCAUGAAAGAAGGUACCUCGAUUUUUUGUUUUCUGAUUAUGUUGCCUUUUGUGUUUUUGAAUUGAUCAUUUUUUCUGCAUAAACUCAUUGACUAGCAAUCUAUAAACAUGUUGCUGCUAUCUAUUUUCUUGAGCAUGUGUACUAAUAAAUAUAUCUGAGGUAGCUAAUUUUGGAAUUGGUUUUGAAUAUAAAAGGUUCCCCAUUCAAUUUCCGUCUUUACAAUUUUUAUGAAUAUCUGCAAAACUCAUACGUUAUAUGAUGUAUAAGUAUCUAUCGCAUGAAGCUCUCCAACAAAUUAAGUUGGUCUCUUGGGAGUUUUUCCUAGCGCUGUAUGCUUAAAUUAAUGUACACCUAUGAAUUUGGGUUUACUUUAUGGAGUUCUUUAAUUUAUGAAUAAUAGGCACAAACUGAAAAGGUUCUUGAGGAAAAUAGUUAUAACAAAUUUUAUUUGAGCCAGAUCGUUAAUAAUAUUUUGAUGCGGCAUUACUUAUGAUGUUUGUUUCAUGUUCUUUCCAUGUUUGUUUCAUGUUCUUUCCAUGUUUCAGAAACAAAUAUGCCCUUAAAAGUCUGCCAAGGCAUGCAACCUGAAUUCGCUCAAGUGAUUUUGUUGAAGUUUAGCCCGAACUGAACUCUUUUGAUUCUUAAUCUGAUAAGCAACAAAUGUCUUAAUAUUAUCUUUCCAAUUGACCUGGAUUUGACAUGUUGAGAUUGAUUGUUUUCCAAGAGAAAGUACUAAUUAGUAGUAUAAUAAUUUUAAGCUUUUACUUAUAUUUUAUUCCAUAGGCUGUGUAAGAUAAUACCAAUUUUGUAUUUAAUUGUUAAUUAUGGAUUAUUACUUAA
Molecule: long non-coding RNA, 1634 nt
Organism: Mercurialis annua (annual mercury)
Lineage: Eukaryota; Viridiplantae; Streptophyta; Magnoliopsida; Malpighiales; Euphorbiaceae
Exons: 6
Source: RefSeq, a predicted model, not a curated record